CUGGAGUGCCUGCACCCUGCGGUCCCCUACCCGGAACACCUGGGACAGACUGUCUCCAGUACCCGCCAGCAGGGCGCCAGGAAGUCUCCAUACUUGCUGGCUGUCAGGAUCUGACCCCCGGGGUCCCGACUAGGUGCAAAGGGGACGGUGAGAGGCACAGCUGUCUCCCCCAGCCUAAGCUGCUCAAGCUUCGCCCCAGCGCCCAGCCCUGUUUGGCCCCAAGGGUGACCCCCUCUCCCAGUAGCCAGAGCCUGGCAGGGGGAGACCCCAAGGUGCGUGUGUGCGAGGGGAGGCGGCCUUCGGAGCUUUGCUGCCCGGCUGGGGACCCCAGGGUGACCUGUCCUGUACAGUGUGGUCCUGGACUCAUGUGUGGAGAUGAGGAGGUAGAAACAAUAACGUAUAGAAGUUGUGCCAUAUCAGAAAAGUGGCUUCACACAAGAUGGGACAGCACACGGGUUUCCUGUUACUGGCAUUUGUGGAGCCCAAGUACAAGCAGAAGUGUGCUGAUUCCCACGCAGUUGCAAUUUCUGUCGUUAGCCACAGAUUUAGCGUUUGAAUGCAGUACAUGAAAUGUGUUCCUUACUGAAG
This 588-nucleotide long non-coding RNA is filed under the name Heterocephalus glaber (naked mole-rat). RNAcentral describes it as "lncRNA (ENSHGLG00100038321.1)". The record is from RNAcentral. Lineage: Eukaryota; Metazoa; Chordata; Mammalia; Rodentia; Bathyergidae.